UGGAGAGUUUGAUCCUGGCUCAGAUUGAACGCUGGCGGCAGGCCUAACACAUGCAAGUCGAGCGGCAGCGACAUGAYUGAACCUUCGGGGGACGUUAUGGGCGGCGAGCGGCGGACGGGUGAGUAAUGCCUGGGAAUAUGCCCUGAUGUGGGGGAUAACCAUUGGAAACGAUGGCUAAUACCGCAUAAUCUCUUCGGAGCAAAGAGGGGGACCUUCGGGCCUCUCGCGUCAGGAUUAGCCCAGGUGGGAUUAGCUAGUUGGUGGGGUAACGGCUCACCAAGGCGACGAUCCCUAGCUGGUCUGAGAGGAUGAUCAGCCACACUGGAACUGAGACACGGUCCAGACUCCUACGGGAGGCAGCAGUGGGGAAUAUUGCACAAUGGGGGAAACCCUGAUGCAGCCAUGCCGCGUGUGUGAAGAAGGCCUUCGGGUUGUAAAGCACUUUCAGUCGUGAGGAAGGGUGUGCAGUUAAUAGCUGUACAUUUUGACGUUAGCKACAGAAGAAGCACCGGCUAACUCCGUGCCAGCAGCCGCGGUAAU
RNAcentral lists this ribosomal RNA (540 nucleotides) under Photobacterium sp. SB0407. RNAcentral describes it as "bacterial SSU rRNA". It matches the Rfam family "Bacterial small subunit ribosomal RNA", at positions 1 to 524 of the family's 1533-position model. Lineage: Bacteria; Pseudomonadati; Pseudomonadota; Gammaproteobacteria; Vibrionales; Vibrionaceae. The record is from RNAcentral.